GACGAACGCUGGCGGCGUGCCUAAUACAUGCAAGUAGAACGCUGAAGGAGGAGCUUGCUUCUCUGGAUGAGUUGCGAACGGGUGAGUAACGCGUAGGUAACCUGCCUGGUAGCGGGGGAUAACUAUUGGAAACGAUAGCUAAUACCGCAUAAUAGUAGAUGUUGCAUGACAUUUGCUUAAAAGGUGCAAUUGCAUCACUACCAGAUGGACCUGCGUUGUAUUAGCUAGUUGGUGGGGUAACGGCUCACCAAGGCGACGAUACAUAGCCGACCUGAGAGGGUGAGGGGCCACACUGGGACUGAGACACGGCCCAGAAUCCUACGGGAGGGAGCAGUAGGGAAGCUUCGGCAAUGGAAGGAAGUCUGACCGAGCAACGCCGCGUGAGUGAAGAAGGUUUUCGGAUCGUAAAGCUCUGUUGUAAGAGAAGAACGAGUGUGAGAGUGGAAAGUUCACACUGUGACGGUAUCUUACCAGAAAGGGACGGCUAACUACGUG
RNAcentral lists this ribosomal RNA (495 nucleotides) under uncultured bacterium. RNAcentral's name for it is "partial 16S ribosomal RNA". It matches the Rfam family "Bacterial small subunit ribosomal RNA", at positions 28 to 507 of the family's 1533-position model. The record is from RNAcentral.